RNAcentral lists this long non-coding RNA (3190 nucleotides) under Nicotiana tabacum (common tobacco). Its description in RNAcentral is "long non-coding RNA (NTAB_LNC006426)". Lineage: Eukaryota; Viridiplantae; Streptophyta; Magnoliopsida; Solanales; Solanaceae. The record is from RNAcentral.
UGAUAUCCAACCUAUCUCAUAGCCUACAUUUCAAUCAAAUAUAAAAUCCUACAUGAUCUAGAUGAGGUUGUUCCUACAUUAGUGGAGAGUUACACGAUAGCCAAGCUUAUGGUACUUUGGAAGGCAUGAGUCAUUUCUUUGUGAGGGUGAGCGAUUGUUAUGUAUUGCUCGAGGCCGUUAAUUGAAAAUUGGUGUGUGAAUGGGCAUUGUAUCUUUCUUGUGAGGUGCAUCGAGGAUUUGGUGCAAAUUUGACCACAACACUAGUGGAAUGUUAUAACCAGGUUUGAGGUUGAAUGUGACCCCAAUAUGGUAUCAAGUUGAUUUAGCCGGCCACUUGUCUAAGGCAGUUGCAGUAUUAGGAGCAUUUUUAUUUUAGAUUUGCUCGGACGAGCAAAAUCUAAGCGUGGGGGUGUUUGAUGAGCUUAAAGUCACUUAUUAUUUCAGCCCAUUUUCUGUCUUUGUUUUGGCUGAUUCGAUAGCGAUUUGGUCAGGUUUGGGUCUAAUAUGUUUUAUUUCAGUACAGGUGAUGCAGGGGGGAAUAUGGACGAAGAGUGCACUUAGUAGGAGGAAAAAGAGUUGAGCAAAAGUAAAAUCCAGGUGGGCGACCGUGCACAAGAGACCACCAGCGCGCACCUGAGAGCACAAGUGACACCGUAUUCUGCUAGAGGAGCGCGACUAUGAGCGCGGUUACACUUCCAGGUGCACAGCCGCGUACGUCCGCUUCUGGGAAUUUGACCCAGGACAAUUUUUGUAAAUUUGGAUAUGGCCCUUUUUUGAUUUAUAUGAAGCGUAUCUCGUCUCAAAGAGAUGUAUCGGGGCAUUUUGGAGCAACUUUGGUAGAGAAGAAGGCAAGGAAACAACGGAGACUCGAAAUACUCCAUCCAGUUCAUUCAACACGGAAGUUUAUUUGAUUUUGAGAAUUGUAAUAUCUUCUUCGUCUUCUAAUACUCUUGUGAUAAAUAACUUCUCCAUUAUGGAGUAAUAUUUCUUAGGGUUAUUGACGGAUAUUGUGAAUGGACUAUUGUUUUGGGGUUUGCUUUGUGUUAAUUUUCUGAAUUCGUUGAAUGAGUUAUUAAUUGAAUGCAAAGGCUAGUUGUGGUUUUACUUUAAUCGUAAGAGAAGUGUUGCUGCAAUUCGCAUUGUGUUAUCUUAUUUAGGUUGAUUUUACGCCUCUCAUAGGUAAUCGAUAGAGCUUAGAGAGUUAUUAAUUGAUCCAAUUUGGAAGAAUAAUCGAGAGACGUUCUUCGUAAGAUCAUUCAUUCAAUGUAUUUUUGCAUGUGGUCAUAGAACCUGUUAUUAGGUUGGUUAAAGGAACUCUCAUUCAUUCGGAAGAAGAAUCUGAAUCUUUAAGAUAGCCUAAUCAUCUGUUGAAAUCGAAAGAGUCAAUAGAAGUUAGCAGUGAACUUAGCACGGAGUUACCCAAAAUAAUAGUUGAUCACUUAUCCUGUCACAACCCUUACUUCUCACCUUGAUACUUAAUUGUUGCUACUUCAUCACUAAAUUUCCAAUAUUUUCUCAUAAUCGAUAAUCUUAGUUUUUACCAUUAGUCGGUAAUAACUUAAAUCAAAACUUUAUUUUUCUGGAUAGUGUUAAGCUGAAGAUUUAUUAGAACAUUAUUUAUACCAAUCCCUGUGGAGACUAUAAAUAUGUAAUUUUUGACCCUCCCCAAGAUUUUACAUAUUUUAGUAUUUAAAUAUCUAGUUUAGGUCUAGCAUCGUUAUUUUAAUUAGUUUUGACUCUUUUAGUUUAUUUUAAGAAUAAAAAUUGAAAAUUAAAAAAAAUAGUUCCAUAUUUCUCUAGUAAAUUCACGCAUUAGAUAUUUUAGAAUGAUAUAUUACUUUGAACCUAUUUUACUUUAAUAUAAUUUUUGAAAAUACCAAAAAUAGUUUCAUAUUUUAUAUAUAAUUUAGUUUAAUUAAUUAGAUUAAUUUUUGCAUUAUGCAGUAUAUUUAUCUUAUAUUAAAAGGAAUUUAACUAAGAUUUGGUCAUUUAUUUUUAGCCGAAUGUUAAGGCCCAAAUUUUUAAGCCCAACAAGACCUAAGCCAUUACCCCUUCUUCUUUAACCCUUCCCUAACCCUUUCUUCUUCAGCUAGACAAUAACAAACCCUAGAGAUACCAAGACAACAACCACCCUCCCAACCGGACGAAUACCACAAAAAACACACACAGCCGCCAUUGACGCCUUCACUGCCGCCCGCCAGCUUCUCUCCACACCGACGACCCACAUCUCCCUCGAUUUUAAAGAACCAGCGAUAAACACACAGCAAACAGAAGAAGACGGAGGAACGGAGAAACCCAAGAAUGAGUUCCAAAAACGCAGCCAUGAAUCUCCAUCUUGUUUUACCAUUUUUCUUCCAUAUAUAAAAUCAUAGCAUUAUAUGUCUCUGAAAAAUAAUUUCAAAAUCAAAUUCAAAAAUCAUGAUUCAUACGGAUCUGAAAUUUAGUGAAAGUAGGCAAGUUGAAUUUGGUUUCACUCUUUGAACCUCUGUUUCGAGGCUUCUUAAUUCGUGGUUUGUUCGAGGGUUCCGGUCAGCGAGCUUGGUAGGAGUUCGAGGUUGCCGACAAGGAUUUCCGGUCAAGCUCUGGUCUCGAUUCACGUUCUGGCACUGCCAAUGUAAUCAGAAAAGCUAUCAUUUUGAGGUUAUCUCUUACUUUGAUUCUGAAUUUUUAUAUUUGUGUCUUGUGCCCAAUCUUUGGUGAUUAUGAAUGUUGAAUAAUUGUUUUGCUCAUGGUGUAUUUAGAAUCUUUUUAGUUUGAUUUAUUCAAGUUGGUCAGCCUAUAUGCGAGACAUUAUUUGGAAAUAGAAGUGAAUUUGUAUAGUUUUUUUUAGAAUACGGAAUGCACAUAGUCUAUUUGGUUAACAAUUUUAUGCUAAAACUCAUCGAGACCAUAAAAUAGACUACGAUAGUGAUUAGAAUUAACGGUAUUCGAGUUUGCCGUUUAAGUUUUUUGGAUUAUUAUUUUACCAUGCCAAAUUGUUAAGUUGAGUCGUAACUUAAAUUAAUUUUAUUAUUUGAUACUUUCGUUAGGAACAUGUUUAGGCCGAUCACAUUUGGGUAGGCAAACUCUAGGAUUUUGUUUUAUUUAAUUUUGAGGCGAGAGGUCGUUCCCUUAGUUAAAUUUAUCCGGGGAAUGCCCCUAAGGAUUUGUAUAUAUAUUAUUUCGGGGAAUGCCCCGUCGUACAUGUAAA